This is a long non-coding RNA of Alosa alosa (allis shad), 729 nucleotides long. RefSeq lists it as uncharacterized. The record is from RefSeq and is a predicted model, not a curated record. Lineage: Eukaryota; Metazoa; Chordata; Actinopteri; Clupeiformes; Clupeidae. The transcript is spliced from 3 exons.
CGCUCUCCCCGCUCCGUCUCAUCGCCGGUCUGAGCUUUCAGCAUUGGCAAAGGAUAAAAACUGCUUUUCGCAAGACGCAGCGAAACACGACGGUGGUGGAAGAGCUAAGCUGAGUUGUGGGAACACCUCAAGGACAGCAGCGCUGUAAGAAGUGGUUGUGAGCCGUGGUCAUACAGGUGACAGACAUACAGUGUCCAGCUAGCCUGUCAAAUCUGAUUUGUGCCCUGGGGAGCUAAAGAAAAACAGAACUACACAAUAGACAACCUACCAGUCGACAAACUGCCAGAUUUCUCAGUGCGUUUAGAGACGAGAGACGAGAACAGCGAGGGAUAAAAGCUGUCCGGAGCUGCCUUUGUCUCCUCCGGGCCCUUCACCUUUGGAGAGAAGAACCUGUGACUAGCUCAAACCGGCAAGUUGACCCUCGGAGACUAAACUCCAUCCAACAGUCGAUGCGGAGCCUGAAGAUCAGAGACCAUGACUCAUAGCUUGGUUCCGCGACACCACUCCUCAUCAGCCUUAGCCUCGAAGACCUAAGAUGGGGACCGCACCUGCUGCCAUGUGGGCUGUACAGCUGUGAGAACCCCCCUCUCGGAGAACCCCCUUUUUUUCCUUUUACCCGUGUCACUGUGCUCGGAUCUCACUCUCACUCUCUCUCUUUCUCUUUCUGUCUCCUUUUUCUUUUUCUUCUCUUUCCCCCAAAGCAGCCUGUUCCUUUUCUUUCAUUUGACA